Long non-coding RNA from Rosa rugosa (rugosa rose), 1647 nucleotides. RefSeq lists it as uncharacterized. The record is from RefSeq and is a predicted model, not a curated record. Lineage: Eukaryota; Viridiplantae; Streptophyta; Magnoliopsida; Rosales; Rosaceae. The transcript is spliced from 3 exons.
CAAAACUUUUACUUGUGUACUUCUCUUGGAAAUUAAUUUAGUCAUUUACGUGAUUGGCAGAAUGUAACAUGGAUAUUGACUCCCAUAGCAAUCAGCGUAACCUAUAUAAUUUAUAAGCUUCUGUUUGAAAAACUGAAAUAACAAAUAUAAGCAAAAUAUAUUUCUAUCACAGAGGUUGCCUUCAAAUGCAUAGAUUAAUAAUCCUUUUGCUCGUUGCUCCUUUAAUUAUAUCACAAAGUUGAUACUAGUGAGUUUUUCACAGCCUCUGCUCCUCUGCUCCCCACGAUGCUUUUUCAGCAUAACUAAACACUUCCUGACUCAAAUCCUCCUCAAACAGCCUUGGUUCUCAGGUUGCAAUUGUGCAUUCUCUUUUAAAUUAUACUAUAUACUAAAGUUGGUGAUCUACUGUUCAUCAGCUUAGUAACAGUCCAGGCUUGAGCCGAGCCGUUACAUGAAAAGACGGUUCUGUAUAUGUUAAGACCAUUAUCAGCUUGCUUCUGACCUUUAUUAUUCUCCUUCCUCUCGCUUUCUAGGCUCCACCACUUCGUUCUCUCUCUUCAUGGCUUCACCAGCAAUGAAGAAGGCUAUAUUUCAUCUACGCGGCAAUGUUUCGUUUAUCUAUAUCAUCUGCAAACUUCUAAAUCCUGCGCCUCAAUGGAUUGUCUUUCUGAAUUUCAAUUGAUAGGGCCAUUAGCGCAGUAUAACAGCUUAGUUGAGCAAGGGAAGCUGCAACAUGAUCCGAACCAAGGUUAUUUAUAUGGAAUUGAUUUCACUGGCCAUGAAUGAGAAUAGAUAAAGAGAGAUGAGGGGAGCUUUUCCACCAGUUAGAGAAACAUGAGCAAUUCUCUGUAGCUAAUGCAAGGGUUCUCUUUAGGCAUCUGAUUCAGGUAGUUUUAUAUUGUCAUGAAAAUGGGGUUUCCAUAGAGAUUUGAAGCCUGAGAAUAUUCUGUUGGACAAAAGCCUCUUCAUCUCCCUAUUAAGUUGGCAGGACCAGUUAUGCAACUUACAUCAGGCCUGGUCAGAGUUUGCACGGUUCGGUGCAAGUCCGUUUUAUAUAGCGCCUGAGGUACUUGCUGGGGUGCUGAUGUUUACAGUGCAGGGGUAAUUCUUUGCAUUCUUCUUAGAGGAAUACCACCAUUUUGGAGGAAUCAAGCAUAUUUGAUGCUGUUAGGACAGCUGAUCUGAGGUUCCCAUCUGAUCCCUGGAGGAAUCAAGCAUAUUUGAUGCUGUUAGGACAGCUGAUCUGAGGUUCCCAUCUGAUCCCUGGGAUGGCAUCAUUGAAUCAGCUAAUGAUUUGAUUCGAGGAAUGCUCUGUAAAGAUCCUUCUAAAAGGCUCACCGCUCACCAAGUUUUAGGUAGUUUAAGUAAUGAUUGCAGUAACAGAGUUUGCUCAAAUGCUGAUCUUAGAUGCUAAAAGCCUGUAGCCAUUGAUACUCACUGUUGUCCUUAUUUGGCUUCUGAUAGAAAAUGUUUUAUAAAUCAUCUAUGUAGUUCAGAGCCAUGUCCUCCCCCUCUCUUACUAAAAAGAAGACGUUCCUUAAGAAUCUGAGAUCAUUCUAGCUAGCAUCUGUAAUAUGAUACGAGUUAAAGUUGAAAGUGUGGUGUAGUAUGAUCAGUGCUUUUAUAUGAAUCUUUUAAAGGGAAUCA